AUCUCCAUCAAUGGUCAGCAGAACCAAGACCAACGGUCAGCCCAGGUCGAGGCCAUGUCAAGUCAAGGUCAACCAACCAAUGGUCAAGAUCAAGCCAUGGUUGAGACCAAUCCUGAGACCAAACUCAAGUCAAGACCAAGCCAUGGCCGAGACCAACCCAAAAACCAAGACAAACUCAAGACCAAUCCAAGGUCAAAACAAACUCAAAGUCAAGACCAACCCAUGGUCAAGACCAACCCAUGGCCAAGACCAACCCAAAGUCAAGACCAACUCAUGGUCAAGAUCAACCAACCCAAAGUCGAGACCGACCCAAGGUCAAGACCAACCCAAAGUCAAAACCGACUCAAGGUCAAGACCAACCAAUGGCCAAGACCAACCCAAGGUCAACCCAAAGUCAAGACCAACCCAUGGCCAAAGUCAAGGCCUACUCAUGUCAAGAUCAAGCAAGUCAACGUCAAGACCAACCCAAGGUCAAGACCAUCCAAUGACCAAAGUCAAGACCAAUCCAUGACCAAGACCAACCCAAGGUCAACUCAAAGUCAAGACCAACCCAUGGCCAAAGUCAAGGCCAACUCAUGUCAAGAUCAAGCAACUCAACAUCAAGACCAACCCAAAGUCAAAACCAACCCAAGGUCAACCCAAGGUCAAGACCAACCCAUGGCCAAAGCCAAAACCAACCCAAGGUCAAGAAGAACCAACCAAUGGCCAAGACCAACCCAUGGUCAAGGCCACGCCCACCCAACGUCAAACGAGGUCACCCAAAGGUCAACCCAAAACCCACCAAAGGUCACCAAGGUCACUCAAA
RNAcentral lists this long non-coding RNA (805 nucleotides) under Zonotrichia albicollis (white-throated sparrow). RNAcentral describes it as "lncRNA (ENSZALG00000009306.1)". Lineage: Eukaryota; Metazoa; Chordata; Aves; Passeriformes; Passerellidae. The record is from RNAcentral.